Molecule: unclassified non-coding RNA, 526 nt
Filed under: Hevea brasiliensis (rubber tree)
Lineage: Eukaryota; Viridiplantae; Streptophyta; Magnoliopsida; Malpighiales; Euphorbiaceae
Source: RNAcentral
AAAGCAGUCUGUUGAGAUGAGAAACAGUGUGUGUCACAGUGCAACAAUAUAUGCAAAUGCAAUUAUGCAUGCUGGAACAACUGUAGAUACAUUCCUUAGGGAGAACCUAGACUGGCUAAGCCGAGCGACAAAUUGGGCCAAAUUUAGUGCAACAGCUGGAUUAGGUGUUAUUCACUGUGGCCACUUGCAGCAAGGGAGGUCACUUAUGGCCCCUUACUUGCCGCAAGGUGCAGCCGGUGGAGGUGGUAGUCCAUAUUCGGAAGGUGGUGCAUUGUAUGCUCUUGGGUUAAUUCAUGCAAAUCAUGGGGAGGGCAUCAAGCAAUUUCUUCGUGAAAGUCUACGAAGUACCAAUGUAGAGGUUAUUCAGCAUGGUGCUUGCUUAGGGCUUGGCUUGGCAGCUUUAGGAACCGCCGAUGAAGACAUUUAUGACGACAUCAAGACUGUCCUAUAUACUGACAGUGCGGUUGCUGGAGAAGCUGCUGGUAUUGGUAUGGGCUUAUUAAUGGUUGGAACUGCAAGUGAGAAG